Paramuricea clavata is the source of this 259-nucleotide non-coding RNA. NCBI's taxonomy places the organism in Eukaryota, Metazoa, Cnidaria, Anthozoa, Malacalcyonacea, Plexauridae. The record is from the annotation of a GenBank genome assembly.
UGUCUUCUCAUUGUUCUAAAAAUCCCAUUGUUCUCCAUUGUGGAAUUUUAGCAAUUUUAAUUUAUGCAAGAUCAUGAUAAAAAAUUUUCGUCGGUUGGGGAAGUUACGUCGUGGUCAGUUUAAUAGUGGUUGAAAUAUAUCGAAUUUGUGCGAGAAAUCAUUGCCGUGUUCUAUGGCACCGUUUAUCCUGAAAUGGUUGUUACAUGCAGGGAUAUCUAUAAACAUGGUAUCAGGAAAAUAUCUACCCAUACACACAGGG